This 279-nucleotide ribosomal RNA is filed under the name uncultured bacterium. Its description in RNAcentral is "partial 16S ribosomal RNA". It matches the Rfam family "Bacterial small subunit ribosomal RNA", at positions 506 to 784 of the family's 1533-position model. The record is from RNAcentral.
UGCCAGCCGCCGCGGUAAUACGAAGGGUGCUAGCGUUGUUCGGAAUUACUGGGCGUAAAGAGCAUGUAGGCGGAUGAAUUAGUCAGAGGUGAAAGCCCCGAGCUCAACUUGGGAACUGCCUUUGAUACUGUUUAUCUAGAGUCCGAGAGAGGUUAGUGGAAUUCCCAGUGUAGAGGUGAAAUUCGUAGAUAUAGGAAGGAAUACCGGUGGCGAAGGCGGCCUCCUGGACCAAUACUGACACUGAGGUGGGAAAGCGUGGGGAGCAAACAGGGUUAGAUG